GGAGCCCAGCGCCCUCUCCAAGGGCUUCCCAACAAGGACGGAGUGGGGGGAUUCCUCCCACCUGCUCUGCUCAGGGCCUCACUGCACCGUAAGAAGAAGAACCAGGGGGCACCAUCAGCAGCACCAAGAGAAACCAGUGAGCCUGAAAGGCUGCAAAGCCAGGGCUGCGGGCAGUGUCUUAGGGGAGGAAGGGGCCUUGGUGGGGUCUCUGGGAGGUCACCGAGUUUGUCCACAGUUUCCAGGGUUCCUGGGAGGGUGAGGCAGGAGGUGGAGGCAGGCAAAGCGAAAUGGCCGGAGCCACAGGCCAGGUAAAGGCCCAGAGCCUCCCGCCAGGGUCCCAGCGUCCCAGGUUUCUGCCACGAGUCCCUCAGUGGCCGUCUUCCCACAAAGGCAUGGCCCAGGGGCAACACAACUGCUCUCAUGUUCCCAACUCCUGCCUGUUUUCCAGAACUGUUUCUCUAAUUCCAUCCCAACACCCCCUCUCCUUUCAGGCCUGCUUCCCCGCCUCCCCCAGCCUGCACUCCCCUCCAAGGCCCUAGCUCAGAGACCAGCCUUCCUGAGAUGGCUCACACCAGAAACAUGUCUGCUAAUUCUCCCCCUGCCUGACUGGCGGUUUCUGCAGAGACGGGAAUUCUUGGAGCAGACGCCCUUGGAGAGGCAGAAGGGUUGAGUUGGAACCUUCCAGAAGAUGCUCAAUUGCUUCAGCUCUCUGAUUCAGGAGGAAGAAGGCAAGCGUCCAGCUCGGAGGCAGAAAUCAUGUUCUGGCUGACAUCGCACUGUCCCCUGCCUUAGGUGACCUGGGAAGACUGUGCCUGAGGGGACACAUGGGAGAAGAGAUGCCUGCCAUCUGGCCUCAGCUGAUAAAGACUGAUCUUCUGUGCACCUUCACCAAGGCUGCCAAGUACAGCUGUGUAGGAUGUGCACUGCACAAGGGUGUCUGGGUGGGGCUGAACUCACCAAGCCUUCCCUCUGUCUCUGCCACUGGAGAGGGGUCUUCUACUUCUUACAAAGGCACCAUCUGGCCUAGGAGCUGCCUUACACCUCCCCCAGGAGGGAAACUGAGCUGAUGAGGCUUCCUAGGGUCAUCUGGACCCACUGAAUGGCCUGCACACCCCCAAAGUCCUUGGCUGCCAGGAGCUGGGCUGUGGCCAUACUCUACUGUGGGGGCAGUGAGCUGACGAAACAGGCCCUUCAUGGGACCACCUUCUCAUCAGGCCCUGGUCCCGUGCUCCACUGCCUCCAGCAUUAGUUCAUCUUGGCCACCACUGUCUCAACAUGUGACUGUAACAAACAAACCACCGAAAAAGUACCUCUUAGAGAACAUGCUGGGGCCAAGGAGCCAAGGGGUCAAGGGGUCAAGGGGCCAAGAGCAUGGGAAGGUGUUAUGGACAAGGAGAGGCACAGGUCUGAGCACCAGGGCCGCUGGGAGGGGCCGGUCAGCGCAGGUGAGACAAAGCCCCGACUAGGAAGUUGGGGGGCUGCCCCCCUGCAACUCCCAUCCAGGCGCCUGGUUCCCAUGGAAGCCCUGAGGGAGGAGGCAUUUGUGCCAGUCUGGGCAGGGGUUGGUCAGCUCCAGGGCCCCAGGGGUCUGCUUCCCUCCAGAAGCCCCUCCCUGGGUCCCAGCUCUUGCAUAAGCUGGGGACAAGGGAGUGACAUGAGAGAAUGAUUGUGAAUCUGGCUCCCGUGGGAAUGAAGGGGUCCCUUCCUGACACACAGGAGCCUGGUGGAAGCUGGUGGAAGCUGGUGGCGUCAGGGACCUCAGAGGUCAUCUGAGCCACAUAGCCCUUCAUGCUACCUGCUGAUGGGGGGACGGAGGCCACGAAAGGAGCGGGCUGGCAAGUUAGGGUUUGAGCUGGGACCAGAGCUGAGGGCCCAGGUUCCCAGGGACUCGAAGGUGACCACCCCCAUGGAACCCUUUCCUUGGGCCCCCUAGGCACUUGUGCCACCAGCCUCUUGGACCCUCACCAUUCCUUCAUGAGGCAGCGGCACAGCUACGACCGCUUUUCUCCUGUGCGCAGCCCUGGCGCCUGGAAGAACAGAAUCAAUCAUUCCAGGUCUCACUGCUGCUCACCUGUGUUUUCCCGUUUUGUACAAUGCUUACACCCUGCUUUUACAAUAUUGAAAGAGAAAAUCCAUCCUUUUGGACACCAAGCAAUAUCCUGCUGAUCUCACAAGACUAUUUAAGGAGCAAAAUAAACAGGAGAAAAUA
Long non-coding RNA from Phacochoerus africanus (Common warthog), 2209 nucleotides. RefSeq lists it as uncharacterized. The record is from RefSeq and is a predicted model, not a curated record. The transcript is spliced from 2 exons. Lineage: Eukaryota; Metazoa; Chordata; Mammalia; Artiodactyla; Suidae.